RNAcentral lists this unclassified non-coding RNA (212 nucleotides) under plant metagenome. RNAcentral's name for it is "partial contains small subunit ribosomal RNA and internal transcribed spacer 1". The stretch from base 1 to 46 matches the Rfam family "Eukaryotic small subunit ribosomal RNA", at positions 1786 to 1831 of the family's 1831-position model. The record is from RNAcentral.
AAGUCGUAACAAGGUUUCCGUAGGUGAACCUGCGGAAGGAUCAUUAAAGAAUCGCCCGCUUUGAAUUUGGUAAUGUUCCUAAUCCCAACUGUUUACAUACCUUAGUUGCUUUGGCAGGCCGUGGAAACACCAUGGGCUCCGGCUUAUGCGUGCCUGCCAGAGGAAACAAACUCUGUUUUUAGUGAUGUCUGAGUACUAUAUAAUAGUUAAAA